AGAAUUUCCUACAGACGUAAAGUGUUUGGAUGAGCCAUAUUAUUGCCUUUUGUUCUGAAGAAAUACCCUAUGUGGAAGUGAUUUUGACUGGCAUACACCAGUGAGAAACAUGGCCCGGUCAAGAUACAGGACAAAUAUUAAAGUACUGCUUAGGAAUCAUCAUAUGUGUCCUGCUGACCCAUGAAUUUGUUGCGGAAACACUUGAUUUCCCAGAAGCAAGUAUAGAUUUAGAGUUUAGCUACAUAGAUGGUCAACUGCAUCAUAGAAUACCAAGAUAGCCUUGCAGGU
Long non-coding RNA from Cyprinus carpio (common carp), 288 nucleotides. RefSeq lists it as uncharacterized. Lineage: Eukaryota; Metazoa; Chordata; Actinopteri; Cypriniformes; Cyprinidae. The record is from RefSeq and is a predicted model, not a curated record. The transcript is spliced from 3 exons.